RNAcentral lists this long non-coding RNA (1571 nucleotides) under Macaca fascicularis (crab-eating macaque). RNAcentral's name for it is "lncRNA (ENSMFAG00000047885.1)". Lineage: Eukaryota; Metazoa; Chordata; Mammalia; Primates; Cercopithecidae. The record is from RNAcentral.
UUUUUAUUUUUUAUUUUUAUUUUUCGAGGCAGAAUCUCACUCUGCUAUCCAGGCUGGAGUGCAAUGGUGCAAUCUCGGUUCACUGCAACCUCCACCUCCCGGGUUCAAGCGAUUCUCCUGCCUCAGCCUCCUGAGUAACUGGGAUUACAGGUGCCUGGCACCACGCCUGGCUAAUUUUAUAUUUUUAGUAGAGAUGAGGUUUCACAAUGUUGGCCAGGCUGGUUUCGAACUCCUGACCUCAGGUGAUCUGUCUGACUCGGCCUCCCAAAGUGCUGGGAUUUCAGGUGUGAGCCACUGCGCCCGGCCUGUUCUUAACAGCCGGUAGAUAUAACCCAAAUGUCCAUCAACUCAUGAAGGGAUACACAAAUUGUGGAAUAUUCACACAAUGGAAUAUUAUUCAGCCAUUAAAAGGAAGGAAGUAGAGACACAUACUACAACAUGGGUAAAACUAGAAAAGUUUUAAUGCCAAGUGAAAGAAGACAGUCACAAAAGACAGCAAAUUAUAGAACUCCAUUCAUAUGAAAGUUCAGAUUCAUGGUUGCCAAGAGAUGGGAAAAGGGGGGAAUUAGGAGUUAUGGAGUUGUUUUUUGGGAUGAUGGGAAUGUUCCGAAAACUGAUAGUGGUGACGGUUGCACAACAUUGCGAAUAUACUAAAACCACUGAAUUUCAUACUUUAAAGUGGUUUAAAUGGUAGAUUCUAUAUUUUGUGAAUUUUAGCUCAUAAAAAAAACAAUUCUUUUAAAAGAAAAGAAAAAGGAACCACUCCCUCUGGGCAGGUGUGGCUUUGCAGGCACAUGGCUUAGUAAACAAAGGGCAAACAAAGGAUUUCAGUCCCUUUUGGCCUAGUGCCCAUGUGCAGUGAACGACCUGCACAGCUGUUCUUAGUUGCCCUGUGAUGGGACAUAAAAGCUUCUGCCCACAUCUGGACCUCUAUCCGCCCCAUCUGACAGAGAGAAGUAGUGAAGAUUGAAUGCAUUUGCUGAGGCUGGAUGAAACCCCGCCUCUCCCCCAGGGAGAACUAAAUCACAGGAAUGAUUUGCACCCAAGAAGCAAAACAAGCGCCUCCACCUUAGGCAUGGCAGUUGACUUUGGCCCUAAUACCGAGACCUCUCAUUCUGCACACACCCUCCAGCUGCAAUUCCACCUAACACACCAAGCCUCUUCCACAUGCCCAGGCUUGUUCAUUCUUUCCACUCCAGCUAUGUUCUCCUCUUUGCCCUCGUACACCCCUGGAGCCUCCUAGGGACUCACUCUGUUUCCUCUCAGCCCCUCCCAGGCACGAUCCUCCCCACCAAGCCACUUCCCCAUUCUCAGAACCCUGCUCCCGGGUAACCUCUUCCUGGAACCUCCCUCAGAGGAGCUCUGCCUACCACCUGUUGUACCCUUAGCACUUGUGAAAACACCCAGUUGCUGGGUUUUACCUGAGCUCUGCCACUUCUAGGCUGCUUGGCUCUGCAAGAAUCACACAACUUCCCUGGCCUCAGUGUCCCCACCUGUCAAGCGUACAGGGCCAUGCUUACCUGCCAGGUGGGAUUUCAUGGAAUUAGGGAUGUGUAAGGCUUUGUAAGUAC